RNAcentral lists this ribosomal RNA (683 nucleotides) under uncultured bacterium. RNAcentral describes it as "bacterial SSU rRNA". It matches the Rfam family "Bacterial small subunit ribosomal RNA", at positions 582 to 1254 of the family's 1533-position model. The record is from RNAcentral.
UGCAAGUCAGAUGUGAAAGCCUUCUGUUCAACGGGAGAAUUGCAUCUGAAACUGCUAAUCUUGAGUAUAGGAGGGGAGAAUGGAACUUCUGGUGGAGCGGUGAAAUGCGUAGAUAUCAGAAGGAACGCCGGCGGCGAAAGCGAUUCUCUAGCCUAUUACUGACACUCAGUGUGCGAAAGCUAGGGGAGCAAACGGGAUUAGAUACCCCGGUAGUCCUAGCCGUAAACGAUGGGCACUAAGUAGAGGGGAUUACCUAUGUUCUCUCUGCCGUAGCUAACGCAUUAAGUGCCCCGCCUGGGGAGUACGGCCGCAAGGCUAAAACUCAAAAGAAUUGACGGGGGCUCGCACAAGCGGUGGAGCGUGUGGCUUAAUUCGAUGCAACGCGAAAAACCUUACCGGGGCUUGACAUGAUAGAAGUAGGAACCUGAAAGGGGGACGAACGGUAUCCAGUCCGUAGCUAUUACAGGUGUUGCAUGGCUGUCGUCAGCUCGUGUCGUGAGACGUUGGGUUAAGACCCCUAACGAGCGAAACCCUUGUUUUUAGUUACCAGCGGGUUAUGCCGGGUACUCUAGAAAGACUGCCGUCGUCAAGACGGAGGAAGGUGGGGAUGACGUCAAGUCAUCAUGGCCCUUAUGCCCCGGGCUGCACACGUGCUACAAUGGUCGGUACAGACGGAAGCGAAG